UACGGGAGGCAGCAGUGGGGAAUAUUGCACAAUGGGCGAAAGCCUGAUGCAGCUAUGCCGCGUGUAUGAAGAAGGCCUUAGGGUUGUAAAGUACUUUCAUCGGGGAGGAAAAACAAAACUAAUAAUUUUAUUUCUUGACGUUACCCGAAAAAGAAGCACCGGCUAACUCCGUGCCAGCAGCCGCGGUAAUACGGAGGGUGCUAGCGUUAAUCAGAAUUACUGGGCGUAAAGAGCACGUAGGUGGUUUUUUUAAGUCAGAUGUGAAAUCCCUGGGCUUAACCUAGGAACUGCAUUUUGAAACUGAAAUACUAGAGUAUCGUAGAGGGAGGUAGAAUUCUAGGUGUAGCGGUGAAAUGCGUAGAUAUCUGGAGGAAUACCUGUGGCGAAAGCGGCCUCCUAAACGAAUACUGACACUGAGGUGCGAAAGCGUGGGGAGGCAAACAGGGAUUAGAUACC
RNAcentral lists this ribosomal RNA (456 nucleotides) under uncultured bacterium. Its description in RNAcentral is "bacterial SSU rRNA". It matches the Rfam family "Bacterial small subunit ribosomal RNA", at positions 340 to 786 of the family's 1533-position model. The record is from RNAcentral.